Molecule: ribosomal RNA, 484 nt
Filed under: uncultured bacterium
Lineage: Bacteria
Description: partial 16S ribosomal RNA
Rfam family: Bacterial small subunit ribosomal RNA
Source: RNAcentral
AUUGAACGCUAGCGGGAUGCCUUACACAUGCAAGUCGAACGGCAGCACGGACUUCGGUCUGGUGGCGAGUGGCGAACGGGUGAGUAAUGUAUCGGAACGUGCCCAGUAGCGGGGGAUAACUACGCGAAAGCGUAGCUAAUACCGCAUACGCCCUACGGGGGAAAGCAGGGGAUCGCAAGACCUUGCACUAUUGGAGCGGCCGAUAUCGGAUUAGCUAGUUGGUGGGGUAACGGCUCACCAAGGCGACGAUCCGUAGCUGGUUUGAGAGGACGACCAGCCACACUGGGACUGAGACACGGCCCAGACUCCUACGGGAGGCAGCAGUGGGGAAUUUUGGGCAAUGGGGGAAACCCUGAUCCAGCCAUCCCGCGUGUGCGAUGAAGGCCUUCGGGUUGUAAAGCACUUUUGGCAGGAAAGAAACGUCGCGGGUUAAUACCUCGCGAAACUGACGGUACCUGCAGAAUAAGCACCGGCUAACUACGUG